UGUGUGUGUGUGUGUGUGUGUGUGCACCAUACGCCACUACUGACACACCUUCCCUUCACCAAAACCACACAAUAUUCCAUCGCUUCUUUAUUUUUGUGUUUGAAUCGAGUGCUGUCUGCACAGAGAGGUUCAGUCUGGUCUGAAAGGAACUUGCUCUCCUUCUUUUUGUUUCUCAUUCUCUUUUUUUUCUCCUCAGCUGGGCUCUACAUUGUAAGAGUUGCCAAAGUCCAGCGCGUUUCCCUGCGUGCCCCUGCGGCUCGCUUUCAGAGCAGGAGAAACGGGUGACUGUUGCUGAGGAGUUUUGGCUGGACUUGUGUUUUGGUGUGUGUGUGUGUGUGUGUGUGUGUGUGUGUGUGUGUGUGUUUCACUCAGGUCUCCCAAACCGCUGUAAGGCGGACGCCCUGCUCAAAGAGGCACUGAAAGAGUUCUACACAUGCCGGUUCCUGCCUCCUCCUUGCCCAUCCUUUACCUGUUACAGUGGUGCCGAAACCCAGGAGAGAGAAGGGAUGCGCUGUUGCGGAGUCCUCGCCGCUGCCACCCACCAGGGGAGCAAGCGGGUCGGAGGGCUCGCUGCCGUCUGCCAGGGGAGGAGCAAGCUGUCAUCCGCCAGAGGGCGGAGGAGCGGUUGAGGACCAGGCAACAGUGUAUCCGGGAACUGGCAAGCAAGUUUUUCUCUCUCUCUCCU
Myxocyprinus asiaticus (Chinese sucker) is the source of this 685-nucleotide long non-coding RNA. RefSeq lists it as uncharacterized. The transcript is spliced from 3 exons. The record is from RefSeq and is a predicted model, not a curated record. Lineage: Eukaryota; Metazoa; Chordata; Actinopteri; Cypriniformes; Catostomidae.